This 66-nucleotide transfer RNA is filed under the name Gonopsimorpha nigrosignata. RNAcentral's name for it is "tRNA-Ala". It matches the Rfam family "tRNA". Rfam says of the family: Transfer RNA (tRNA) molecules are approximately 80 nucleotides in length. Their secondary structure includes four short double-helical elements and three loops (D, anti-codon, and T loops). The record is from RNAcentral. Lineage: Eukaryota; Metazoa; Arthropoda; Insecta; Hemiptera; Pentatomidae.
GGGGUUGUAGUUUAAUUACAACAUUUAAUUUGCAAUUAAAAAAUACUAUAAAAUUAGUCCUCCUCA